RNAcentral lists this unclassified non-coding RNA (276 nucleotides) under air metagenome. RNAcentral describes it as "partial contains small subunit ribosomal RNA, internal transcribed spacer 1, and 5.8S ribosomal RNA". The stretch from base 1 to 46 matches the Rfam family "Eukaryotic small subunit ribosomal RNA", at positions 1786 to 1831 of the family's 1831-position model. The record is from RNAcentral.
AAGUCGUAACAAGGUUUCCGUAGGUGAACCUGCGGAAGGAUCAUUACAGUUAGUUUAUGUUCUCUUGCCUGCGCUUAACUGCGCGGCGAGGAGCAGACAACCUUACACACUGUGUUUUUGUUUUUUGAAACAUUGCUUUGGCUUGGCUUUAUUGUCGGGCCAGAGACCAACCAAACUUCAAAUUAUUUUGAAUUGUUUUUUAAUUUGUUUGUCAAUUUUGUUUGAUUAAUUUCAAAAUAAUCUUCAAAACUUUCAACAACGGAUCUCUUGGUUCUC